UAACUUUUAACAAUGGAUCUCUAGGCUCUCACAUCGAUGAAGAACACAGUGAAAUGUGAUAAGUAAUGUGAAUUGCAGAAUUCAGUGAAUCAUUGAAUCUUUGAACGCACCUUGCACCUUUUGGUAUUCCAAGAGGUACACCUGUUUGAGUGUCA
Molecule: ribosomal RNA, 155 nt
Filed under: Puccinia kuehnii
Lineage: Eukaryota; Fungi; Basidiomycota; Pucciniomycetes; Pucciniales; Pucciniaceae
Description: 5.8S ribosomal RNA
Rfam family: 5.8S ribosomal RNA
About the family: 5.8S ribosomal RNA (5.8S rRNA) is a component of the large subunit of the eukaryotic ribosome. It is transcribed by RNA polymerase I as part of the 45S precursor that also contains 18S and 28S rRNA.
Source: RNAcentral